RNAcentral lists this ribosomal RNA (271 nucleotides) under Salamandra atra. RNAcentral's name for it is "partial 12S ribosomal RNA". The record is from RNAcentral. Lineage: Eukaryota; Metazoa; Chordata; Amphibia; Caudata; Salamandridae.
GUUCUAUAAUCGAUAAUCCCCGAUAAACCUCACCACCUAUUGCCAAUACAGCCUAUAUACCACCGUCCAGCCCGCCCUUUAAAGGAUAAACAGCAGGCAUAAUUAUAAACAUUAAAACGUCAGGUCAAGGUGUAGCAGAUAAGGUGGAAAGAAAUGGGCUACAUUUUCUAACUUAGAAAACACGGAUGAUUCUAUGAAAUAGUUUCUGAAGGAGGAUUUAGCAGUAAAAAGAAACAAGAAUGUUCUUUUUAAGACGGCAAUAAAGCGCGCA